Non-coding RNA from Populus trichocarpa (black cottonwood), 145 nucleotides. The record is from Rfam. NCBI's taxonomy places the organism in Eukaryota, Viridiplantae, Streptophyta, Magnoliopsida, Malpighiales, Salicaceae.
GUUUGCCCAUGGUAUCUAAUGUCCAGAAUCUAUAUUCGUGGCUGGACAUUUCGUUUCAAGGGCAGAAACAAAUUCGAAACAGGUUUUGCGACACAGUUAGCUGGUCUAUACAAGCUUUACUGUUACUUUAUCCCUGCUUACAUCU